This 591-nucleotide ribosomal RNA is filed under the name Xylocoris flavipes. RNAcentral's name for it is "partial 16S ribosomal RNA". It matches the Rfam family "Archaeal large subunit ribosomal RNA", at positions 1933 to 2902 of the family's 2987-position model. Lineage: Eukaryota; Metazoa; Arthropoda; Insecta; Hemiptera; Anthocoridae. The record is from RNAcentral.
CUGUUCAAUGAGUCUAGUCUGCUCUAUGAUUAUUAUUAAAUGGCCGCAGUAUUUUAACUGUGCAAAGGUAGCAUGAUCAUUUGCCUUUUAAUUAAAGGCUUGUAUGAAUGGCUGGAUGAGAAAUUAACUUUCUUUAUUUAAUUUUAAAAAACUUUAUUUUUUAGUUAAAAAGCUAAAAUUUUAUUAUUAGACGAGAAGACCCUAUAGAACUUUAUAAUUCUGUAUAUUAUUAUAUUUUUAGUUGAUUAUUUUUUAAUAUAUAUAAUUAUUUUGUUGGGGUGACAGGUAAAUUUUUUUAACUUUAUUUAUUUCAUUUCAUUUAUAUAUGAUUUUUUUGAUCCAUUAUUUAUGAUUAAAAGAUUAAGUUACCUUAGGGAUAACAGCGUAAUUUUAUUGGAAAGUUCUUAUUUAUAAUAAAGUUUGCGACCUCGAUGUUGGAUUAAAAUUAGUUAUUGGUGUAGCAGCUAAUAUUUCUAGGUCUGUUCGACCUUUAAAUUUUUACAUGAUCUGAGUUUCAACCGGGACCGGUCACGACCUGUUUACAAAAAGCAUACCCGAGUUCCGCCCGCCCGGGUUUAAAUCUAAAAAAGA